RNAcentral lists this ribosomal RNA (768 nucleotides) under uncultured bacterium. RNAcentral's name for it is "bacterial SSU rRNA". It matches the Rfam family "Bacterial small subunit ribosomal RNA", at positions 31 to 847 of the family's 1533-position model. The record is from RNAcentral.
GUACGCUGGCGGCACGCCUAACACAUGCAAGUCGAACGAAGUAGCAAUACUUAGUGGCAGACGGGUGAGUAACAUGUGGGUAUCUACCCUUUGGCCUGGAAUAACACGAGGAAACUUGUGCUAAUACCGGAUAAGUCUUUACGGAGAAAGCUUUAUGCACCAUUGGAUGAGCCCGCACUUGAUUAGUUUGUUGGUAGGGUAAUGGCCUACCAAGACUAUGAUCAAUAGCUGAUUUGAGAGGAUGAUCAGCCACAUUGGGACUGAGACACGGCCCAAACUCCUACGGGAGGCAGCAGUGGGGAAUCUUGCACAAUGGAGGAAACUCUGAUGCAGCGAUGCCGCGUGAGUGAAGAAGGCCUUUGGGUUGUAAAACUCUUUCGUCGGGGAAGAAAAUGACUGUACCCGAAUAAGAAGGUCCGGCUAACUUCGUGCCAGCAGCCGCGGUAAUACGAAGGGACCUAGCGUAGUUCGGAAUUACUGGGCUUAAAGAGCUCGUAGGUGGUUAAAAAAGUUGAUGGUGAAAUCCCAAGGCUCAACCUUGGAACUGCCAUCAAAACUUUUUAGCUAGAGUGUGAUAGAGGUAAGUGGAAUUUCUAGUGUAGAGGUGAAAUUCGUAGAUAUUAGAAAGAACACCAAAUGCGAAGGCAACUUACUGGGUCACUACUGACACUGAGGAGCGAAAGCAUGGGUAGCGAAGAGGAUUAGAUACCCUCGUAGUCCAUGCCGUAAACGAUGUGUGCUAGACGUUGGAAAUAUAUUUUCAGUGUC